UGAAAAAAAAUAAUGGGGGGAAAGCUCGGGGAACUCGAAUUAAUACCGCAUACGACCUACGGGAGAAAGGGGGCAACUUGUUGCUCUCGCUAUUAGAUGAGCCUAAGUCGGAUUAGCUAGAUGGUGGGGUAAAGGCCUACCAUGGCGACGAUCUGUAGCUGGUCUGAGAGGAUGAUCAGCCACACCGGGACUGAGACACGGCCCGGACUCCUACGGGAGGCAGCAGUGGGGAAUAUUGGACAAUGGGGGAAACCCUGAUCCAGCCAUGCCGCGUGUGUGAAGAAGGCCUUUUGGUUGUAAAGCACUUUAAGCAGUGAAGAAGACUCUUCGGUUAAUACCCGGAGACGAUGACAUUAGCUGCAGAAUAAGCACCGGCUAACUCUGUGCCAGCAGCCGCGGUAAUACAGAGGGUGCAAGCGUUAAUCGGAAAUUACUGGGCGUA
Molecule: ribosomal RNA, 442 nt
Filed under: uncultured Psychrobacter sp.
Lineage: Bacteria; Pseudomonadati; Pseudomonadota; Gammaproteobacteria; Moraxellales; Moraxellaceae
Description: bacterial SSU rRNA
Rfam family: Bacterial small subunit ribosomal RNA
Source: RNAcentral